RNAcentral lists this ribosomal RNA (385 nucleotides) under uncultured bacterium. Its description in RNAcentral is "bacterial SSU rRNA". It matches the Rfam family "Bacterial small subunit ribosomal RNA", at positions 355 to 738 of the family's 1533-position model. The record is from RNAcentral.
UAGGGAAUAUUGGGCAAUGGUCGCAAGACUGACCCAGCCAUGCCGCGUGCAGGAAGACGGCCCUCUGGGUUGUAAACUGCUUUUAUCUGGGAAGAAAAAGUCCAUGCGUGGAAAAUUGCCGGUACCAGAUGAAUAAGCACCGGCUAACUCCGUGCCAGCAGCCGCGGUAAUACGGAGGGUGCAAGCGUUGUCCGGAUUUAUUGGGUUUAAAGGGUGCGUAGGCGGCUGAAUAAGUCAGCGGUGAAAGACUUCGGCUUAACCGGAGCAGUGCCGUUGAUACUGUUUAGCUUGAGUGUUGGAGGGGUACAUGGAAUUGAUGGUGUAGCGGUGAAAUGCAUAGAUACCAUCAGGAACACCGAUAGCGAAGGCAUUGUACUGGCCAACA